Molecule: long non-coding RNA, 8660 nt
Organism: Numida meleagris (helmeted guineafowl)
Lineage: Eukaryota; Metazoa; Chordata; Aves; Galliformes; Numididae
Exons: 7
Source: RefSeq, a predicted model, not a curated record
GGGACCCUGGGCAGCCUGGUCUAGUAUUAGAUGUGGAGCUUGGUGCCACCAUGUGUGGCAGGGGGUUGGAGCUUGAUGAUCCUUGAGGUCCCUUCCAACCCAACUCAUUUGAUGACUCUGUGAACUCUGGACACUUGUUCUUGCACAUAAACAUAUACACACAGGGCUGGUUCCAUGAGAUUUUAACCUUAAACCUGUCCGUAAACCACAGCAAAGCAUCCUCUUUUCUGGGUACAGGUUUCCAGCAUGUUUUUCCACUGGUUUUAUAGAGAGGGGAUACAGUUUGUUCAUCUUUUUAGUGAGCCUAUUUGUGCAUCCUUCCAAGACUGGUUUUUGGUAGCUAUUUUUUUUUCUACUGUGACAGUUAAAAAAAACAAAUGUGGGGAGAGAAAUUAUUAUUGACUUCAAUUCUUGCCACUGUUUUGCAUUGAUGGAGAAGAAAAUAUGAUAAAGAGGUGGAGGUGAUAAAUCAGAGAUGGCUUUUUUAAUUGCCUAUCCGUAUAAUAAGGAUUCCUGGCCCUAUGUAGGGUGUUCUUAAACUUUCCUUACAAUAUAUGCACGUUGCUCGCUUAAAUGGAUUUCAGCUAAAGUAGAAUUCUCUAAUUAGACAAUAACGUUGCAGAAAUUGACCAUUAUCUCCAGUUAUUGAAUUUUCAGGCAGCCUGUAUCAGCACUCAUGCUUCUACUAGUUGGUCGUUAAACAUGCAAAUAAUACAUGCAGAGGUUAUUGUUCAAAACUAUUCUCAAUAGUCUAAUAGCUUUUUAAUUUUUAAAAGUAGCUUAUAUUCAUCAGCUGGAGCUCAGGGUAUUCAGAUCGACUCAACCAGCUCAGUUAUUUUGUCCUUCUUAGCUAAUUAGAGGCUGUACUCAGAUCUGAUAUCAAUGGGGAAGCCGUGAUUUAUUUAUUCUGAUAAUCUCAUAAGCACUAGUCCAUGCAUUUGAGUCCAUGAGUUAAGGAUGUGGGAUUCAGUGCUCGUGUGUCUAUGCACAGAGAAAAUAGGAAGGAAAUGAUUUCUUCUCAGAUGUCUGUUAAGAGCACCAAAUCCAGCUGCAACCAGAGCACGCUGUAAGCAUGGGCUCUGCCUUUAUCUAUCUUCUGUUGCAGAAUUGGGAGGCUGUGCUACACAGGAGGGUGAAAGAUAGGAGCCCGUAACACAUCCCCAAACACUCGGACUCCAUUUCCCUGUCAUCCUGUCCCACAGCUCCCAUGUGCUGCAUCAGAAAGCACGCAGGGUAAAAAACUUCCCAUAGGAUGUCACCAACACAGACAAAAAGGUGUCAUCGAAUUGAUUAUAAGCAUUGAUCAUUUUCUUUAAUUACUUCCUGCGUAGGAAAUAGUUUUCAUCUGGCAGAUCUGGGCCACAGAACUGGAAAAAACAUUUGAACAACUCCUGCUAUGAGAUUAGAUCUUGCAGGUCUGCGUGCAUUCUGUUUUUGAAUGGUCUUCUGAGGGUUGGUGCUUCUGUUGCCCUGUUGUUGGAGUAUUGCCCAAACACUGAUAAAUUAAUGUCUUUAUAAGUCAGAGAUGUGUGAGACUGGAGAAUGGAAAAGGUUCUAUGUAAAAUCUGUUUGGGAGGUGUGUAGUGUUUGUAUGGGGAUAGCACAGAGAGGAAUUUAGGAUAUUGGCAAAUGAGAAUGUUCAAUAAAUAUUGAUUACUUUGCAAGUCUGAAUUAGAAGAAGAUGUGUGAAAUUAGAAGAGUUAACACAAAUGAAGGUAACAACCAUGUUGAAGGGAAGUCAGUGUGCAGGUUAGGAAUCAAGCUCAGAUGUGUGCUCCUUUGCUAGGCCAUGGAUCAGUCCUUUCCUUAUGGUGUUCUGUGGUUAAAUAAACUGAAGUCAGUCCAUUCUGGAGUUGUACAUUUACCUUUUUCUCCCAAGUUUUGUUUCUUUGUCAUCCUUUCCAGGUCAGCUUUUAGAGCAAGAAUAUCAGUAAACUUGGGGUAUAAACAUUUGUCUGCAUCCAGCUGUUCCGUACUAGCACAGGGCUGGCUGUAUAGCACAGUACACUUAUCCAGAAGGGCCAGUCCAGAUCCUGGAGCAGUGUGUUGGUGCAGUGACCAGGGCUCAUCUGCCCAGGUGGAGCACCACACUGAUUCUCUCCCUCUGUGUCCUGGCAGAGUAGGAGACCUCUCCAGAGGUCUGUGCUGUGCAGUGAUAGGCACGGUCCAGGGCUGAACUCACUGCAUUGCUAUGCUUGUGUGAAAUUGGUAAUUAUAAAUAUUUUCAAAAUAUUGACUUGAUAGGAGACAGAUGUAUUCCAAUCAGUUAAAUUUUCCACGAAAAAAUAAACCAUUCAGUGGAACUGCAGCGGCUGAAAGUUUGUAAUUUCAGUGCAUCUUUUCCUUUUCCAAACGAAAGCGAUUGACUGGAUGUACUUUGUUUUUCAUGCAGAAAUGCCAAUUGUUUGAAAUGAAUUCACAUGUGAAAGAAGGUUGGUUCAGGCCACCUUUCUGUAUCUGGUUAUAAUUUGCUCUCAGAGUAUGUGUAAUCAUUUGCUGGGAAUGUUCUCAUUUGUAGGAGUACAUACUGCAAUCUGUGCCAGUUUAAGCUUAGGUACUGUCCAAGGACUUGGGGAGGAUUGUUGUGAAAUACAAGAAUAACAAGAAAGCUCUGUUUUUCCAGCAUCUGAAAGGAUGAUAAAAUUCUUUCCUCCUUUGAUUUUAAUUUGUUUGGUAUAGAAAAAACUUUCAGCCUUCAUGUAACAGAUGUGUUUUGGCAGUGGUCUUUACGACGAGGCUGAGGCUCUGAGGUUUGCAUGCUGGUUCUGCAGUCCAGAGAAACAGGCACGUGCAUGUGAGGCUGGAUGCACAGUGACCAGCAGACUACCAAACACUUGGUUCCCAGUCUAGUAAGUGCUCAGCCAUUUCACAACAAGUCAACAGCUACUGACUUUCUAUUGCAAACAUAGCUUGUUGCCUUCCAAAUACAGAAUUAGAUCAGUGUGGCCCCAAUUUUUUUUAUUUUAUUCCGGACACGAAAUACCAAUAAGUUGGAAACUGUAAGUCCUGUUUUCCAGCUGUUUAAAUUGUAAGUUCCAAAAGGUGUGAAAACAUGAAGCAUCCAAAUUUGCCACAGAAAGGGAGUCUUGAAAUUUCCUUCUACAAAUAUGUGGAUUCUUCUAAAUGUAUCCAGGCUUGCACCAAAGUCCUGCAGUACUUAGAAGGUGUGGGGUCAGAUUUGCUUACUGCUAGAAGGCUUCUAAGGAACUGGAGACUUUAGCAGCAGUGGCAUUACCAUAAAUUCAAGGCAGUUUGACUGGGAGCCUUGCAAACUUGGCUUCUGAAUGUGCUAUUCUGUGUGCUUAGGAGUCAGGGUUUCUUUAUCCCUGUAUUUCCAUGGCCUGCUGGGUUGACUGCAGAGGAGCUAUGAGGAAAUGAGUCGUUUUCCAAUGGAAAGCUGCCUGUUUUUCAUCAGAAUUUUGGCCAAAUUAAUCAACUAAAAUGUUCUGAUGAACUUGAUUUGUUUUGUCUGGUGGAAUGUGUUUUGUUGGAAAGUUUCUGGAUGGCCACAAGCACCCAUGCUCUGGUGGUGGUUGUUUCAGCUUGCUUGAGGUGGUCUGGAUAAUGCAGAUAUCGUGACUGGCAUCUUCUAUCACAAGAGAAUAAUCUUUUAAAAAAUCUAUAAUGCAGAUUAUGAAAUGAGCUGUGACUGCAAAUCAGAAGAAAUAUACUGGAAACUGUUUUAUUAUGUCUCAUAUGUGAGUGAUUUAUGUAGCGCUGACUUUUAGUGAAGUUCAUAAAUAUGAGGACCUGCACAAAUCUGUACAAGCGGAUGUUUACAAUGAAACUUCUGGGCAGCAGAAGUCUUCUCUUCUUGCCGUAGUAUGAGACCAACUCUCCCAUUAUUUUUUGCAUUGUUUUCCUGUCCAGUAAUGCUCUUCAUUUUGUACUGCUUAAGAAUAUCCCAUGUCUUAGAUCUUGCUUGCUAGUGUAGAAGCACUAACUGUUGUACUCAACAUGCAAUUUAUAUGAAGCCCACCAGUUGUUCUUGUCACGGGGAGAGAAAGAUGAGCAGACGAGAGGUCUGUGAUCCAGAUACAAACCAGAUAUGAACAGUGGCUAGCUGUCUUCCAAGGGCUUGCCAUAUCUAUGAAAGGGUACUGGCAGAGGAGAAGUAUUGGAGGUCCUUGGAUUCAUGCCCAGGCUUUGGUCGAAGCUGCAGGGAAUGGGCUCUGCAGAAAUGGAGUCUAAAAUGGCUCUGAGUCAGCAGCAGCAGCUGCAGAAAAUGUGGCCUGGGGAGAAAAUGGAAAUUAAGACAUGCAGGUGUGCAGUGUUGAAAGUUUUGCCCUGCAAAAUUCAGUUAACAAUUUGACCAAAGCUGCAUGAACCAGACAAGAUUCCAGCUCUGUCUAGACUCCAGAGAAUUGACAUAUGAUAAAAUGCAAUAAAAAUCUUGCCAUAAAAAUAAAGAUGGGCUGCUGAGUAUCCCCUGUGCUCAGAUAUGUCUGGUCAGGAGUGUUCUUACACAUCUGCAGGCGUAGUGACUCUUCAUCCUUGUGUAGGCAGCCAGCCCUCUAGAGUGUUCAAUACAAAAGCUGUGUGUGUCUGCAGGAAGAACUGCAAUCCCCGUAAAGCUCUGGAAGAUUUCUAAAAGUUUUGCAAAUAUUUUAGGAGAUUUGAUUGCUGUAUCACUUGAAUCAACAGUAAUACCUGAGAUCAAAUGUGCCCAAGCAGUACUUCAUGAAGUUUGUUUUCAGAUGCUGAUUGAAUUUCACGUGCAAUGUAUGUGUCAGGUCCUGGUCAAGUCUAUCAGUUUCAUUCAUUGCUCAUGGGCGCACUAUAUGCACCCUUAUGGAGAAUCAUGUGUAUACUCUCAUUUUAGUGAAGUCACUUACUAAGGAAAAGGAUUGUUGGGUGAGGUUGGUAGAGCUCACUGCUGCAGUGGUGGAAUUACCCAGGUUCACUUUACAUGCCCAUAUUUAUGGCACUUGCCUGUCUGAAUCCACGUGUCUUGGGUUCUGGCGACUGUGUUUUCUGCUCUAUGUCCUGUGGCACAUCUGGAGCACAGUCAAGCAAAGAAUCAUCCCUCAGUGGUUUUGAUCUACUCCUGAGAAUACCCCUGGGUGGUGAAUGAGCUUGCCAGUAGGCCUCCAAGGAAUAUGCCGCAGCUGUGGUGAGUUAUUACAUCUUUGUUGAUUUGUAACCUGAAAUCUAUAUCCCACCGAGUCUUGCUGUGUAGCCCUCAUCUCUUUAACUUGGGAUUAUUGAUUGUAUUAUAAUGUUCACUUUGUACUCUGCACAGCUAGAGUACUGAUGAGGCUUUUAUUCAUGUUGCCCCUUGGAAAGGUUAUUUAUGUGGGGCUAUUUCCAACAUCUACGCCAAUUUGGAAAACAAAAUGUUUUAUCUUUCAUUAUUUAUUGAAUAAUCCUUAUGCAAAAUAAGUUGCUCGCUCAGAUAAAACAUGCAUUCAAAAGGACAUCUUGCCCCUUUCUAUUUACUUUAUUUCUGUUGGUGCGUUGUCUUCAAAUUAAGGAAACAUCAAACUAAGAAGGUUUCACACAUGGUUAGUUAUGCAAAGCUUGUUCUGCUCAUAAAUUCACUGAUCUAGGUUUGUGGCGGAACAUUUUUUUAGCCAUAAUAAAUGUUCUCGUAAUGUUGUGCUGUCACAUGUGUUGUUCUCAUUUUGUGCAUGCAAGACACACAUCCCUGUUUACUACUUAAAAUUUUACUUCUGUGUCUUUAGAUCAUAGAAACAAGUUGCAUUACCAGGCCGAUUGUUCCACUUUAUAGAUUAUUACCAAAAUACAGACUUUACAGUAGAAUACUACCACCAGGAUUCUGGUUUCUGAAUCGCUGUAUCAGAAGUAGGAACAACCAGCUGUAUCACUUUGCAGGAAGCUUUGGCGGUAAUACUUGAAUUUUUUUCCUUCGUACCAACCUUUCAUCAAACAGGACUUGUUAGGUCUCCUCUUCUGAAGGAAAUCUUGGGAGGAAACAAGUCAUCUGGUUUAUUUUCAACCGAUCUCCCAGCUUGCCCUCGAAACAUAAGUAAAUGUAUCUAUAUCUUUUUUCAAAACAUUAUAACUUUGAAUCAAGUAGAAAAAAAUACUUAUUUUGUGCAAUGGCUAAGUGAAUUAAUUGUCAUUUUUAGAAGCUGGAAUAGCUGAAAUGGUUCACAGACCCCAAUCCAAGUUUACAGAUAGAUGCAUAGAAGGCACUGAGUACCUCAGCCUUUUCCUCAUCCUCGGAGGCAAUGUUCCCUGGUGCAGCCAAUAAAGGAUGGAGAUUCUCCUUGGCCCUCCUUUUGUUGUUAAGGUGUCAUCCCGAGAAAAAAAGAGCACCUGAGAUUCCCUGAAGCCACUGACCAAUGCAGAGGGAUGGGGCCAGUAGUUUCAGCUAUAGCAGCAGCAGAAGCAAGAGAGGGAACCUGAUUUUGACCGGUCAGAGAGGUGAAGCAUCACCACUGCACAAGCAAGAUCCUCCAGAUUUUUCAACAGAAGGUAGAAGAGAGAGAUGGUGGGAAGCUGCUUCGCACUGGGGAGACUGGGGAGGAACAGCUUUAUGUCAGAAGACUGAAAAGAUGUUCAGAAGAGUUUGAAUCAUGUCUAAAGUUGAGCUACCCGAGGAUGCUCUGUGACACAGCCAUAAUGGGACCAGCCAUUAUGGUCUACUGUGUUAAUAACCUGUGAAUUAAAGCAUCCCCCAGCAAGCUCUUAAUGUGAUGGAUUGUAUCAGUGACGUCCUGUUAAAGGAUCCCCAAGCAGCCUGGACACAACAGGGCAGAGCGGUUUGGGAGGCCUAGCAGCUCCAUCAGAUGGUAGGGCUGUGCCUGGUGCAUGGGAUGAACCUGAUGGGAGAUCACGAGGAGCUUUGGAGGAGGCGCAGGAUGCUCAUCACAUUGCCAGGGAUGAGCCCGAGAGACCAAAACGCUCAGAAUCCUCUUGACGAAGAAAAGCAGAAGUCUCAGCAUUAAAAAUAGAUGCUUUUUAUCUUGCAUACGAUGCAAAAUCUCUUGUGAUAGGGUAUUUUUUUUUAUUAUAUUUUAGCAGCUCCAAGCAGUCUCGGAUUAGGCCUGUAUCACAACAGUAAUACACAGGAGGCUAUGUUUUGUCUUGCUAUGACACCAGCUACUAUUGUUUUUGAUCUGCAGGCUCUGAAGAGGGAUGCUGCAUCUUCGACGGAAGGUGUUAUGAGUGCAGAUUAGUUAGACAAGUGCUGGAGUGAAUGCAUAAGCAGUGAUUUUGCAUAAUGAGGUAUGUGAAAUCCCAGUGGAGGUUGUUAAAACAGAUAGACAGCCUGUGGUAAACAACAAGGAAGGUAAGCUUUGAAAACAGAUGGCUUUGAAAACCUGGCAAAUGACUGUUCCGUACUUAAAAAUCGGUUUUGUUGGUGGAAAAUAUCUUCUUAACAAAAAAAAAGAAAGAAAGAAAGAAAGAAAAAGCUUAGCCUGCAUAUUUUUGUAAACCUGAACAUGUUAAUACACAUUCCGUGGGUAACCAUAUAUCAGCUGUCUUUCCUCUGUACGUGUGCCUGCAGGAUGGAGGCAAUGGAGCGAAUACCCGGAGAUGUUCCCAGCGAUCCGUCAGACGUUGCCAUGCAGCUCCUUCUCUCUGGCAGACGUGUUGCUCUUCGUUAUCACUUUGACGAUCUAUGUAGCCCAUAGAUGCCCAAGGGCGACAUGGACGUGAAUUAAAGACAGGGUGGGUGCUCUGAUGCCUUCUUGAAAGGGAUCACAAAUGCAGCCAAGGGAUAUCUCAGUCUCCAUCUUCUGCUGCAAAAAAAAAAAAAAAGGUGAGUCCCUAAGAUUUGCAAUAAGAGCUGGUUUGUUCUGUGCCCUGGAAAAUACAGAACACGUGGACUUGUCAAACGCUGGGACUGCCUUGGCUGAUCUGGUGUGUGCACUCAGCUGGAGUUACAGCCCCAGCAGCAGAGCUUUAGCACCAGUGAUGGCAGCCCCUGCUCUUAAAUCCUGGGAAUGUGGGGAGAGCAACUGCUUGCUGCACGUGUUUCCCAGCUCAUUGUAACCGUGUUGAAAACGGGAUUGCACCUGGGUGAUUGGCGCGUGGUUUGUGGGAAUGGGAACCAAAAAAAAGUAAACGUCCCUUUCAUUGUUGGGUUUGCAAGGCCAGUGCUGGGGACAAGCCCUCUGUGUCCCGUGUUGGCAGAGGAGGGAGCUCCACUUCCACUGACGUUGGUUGGGGGAAAUAUGUGCUUAGGAAGCAAGAGAAGCAAAUUUAAUCCUCUUCAUCUUUCUUUCCAUAAAUUGAAGUACUUGCUGUGCAGCUCAUUUCUCAAGAUACUAAGUACAGCUGUUGAGAAUUUUUGCCAUUAGGUUGUUUUUUAAUUUAAAAAACGCUGAUUACAAAACUGGCUCUCUGUGCAAGAGAAGGCAGUGGAUUUUUUUGCAGCAAUUCCCCUUUUUCAGUAAUCUCAAAAUGUCCAAUUUCCACAUUGGCAAAAUGAUGAAGUGAGUUUUUUUCUUGUUUUUAUUCAACGUUAUUGUCAGCAUUUCAGGCAAUAAGUUAGAAGCAUUGUUUUUGCUUGAAGUAAAAAUAAAAUUAUUGACUUGAUAAUAUUUUCUUUGACAUUAUUAUUAUUAUUAUUACUCCUUCUCUGGAUUUUGCCUCUCAGCUCUGUUUGCACAUUGAGACCGCUGGGUGAGCAGCUUCUGAGAAGUCUACAGGACAGGAAAGUGCAUUUAAUUUUCAGUGGGAGAAAC